GAUGAACGCUGGCGGCGUGCUUAACACAUGCAAGUCGAACGGGAAACCUUUUAUUGAAGCUUCGGCAGAUUUAGCUGGUUUCUAGUGGCGGACGGGUGAGUAACGCGUGGGUAACCUGCCUUAUACAGGGGGAUAACAACCAGAAAUGGUUGCUAAUACCGCAUAAGCGCACAGGACCGCAUGGUCCGGUGUGAAAAACUCCGGUGGUAUAAGAUGGACCCGCGUUGGAUUAGCUAGUUGGCAGGGUAACGGCCUACCAAGGCGACGAUCCAUAGCCGGCCUGAGAAGGUGAACGGCCACAUUGGGACUGAGACACGGCCCAGACUCCUACGGGAAGCAGCAGUGGGGAAUAUUGCACAAUGGGGGAAACCCUGAUGCAGCGACGCCGCGUGAAGGAAGAAGUAUCUCGGUAUGUAAACUUCUAUCAGCAGGGAAGAUAGUGACGGUACCUGACGAAGAAGCCCCGGCUAACUACGUG
This 478-nucleotide ribosomal RNA is filed under the name uncultured bacterium. RNAcentral describes it as "partial 16S ribosomal RNA". It matches the Rfam family "Bacterial small subunit ribosomal RNA", at positions 28 to 507 of the family's 1533-position model. The record is from RNAcentral.